AGAGUUUGAUCCUGGCUCAGAACGAACGCUGGCGGCGCGUCUUAAACAUGCAAGUCGAACGAAAACCUCAGUGCUUGCACAGAGGGGACAGUGGCGGACGGGUGAGUAACACGUGGGUAAUCUGCCUUUUGGUCGGGGACAACUUCGGGAAACCGGAGCUAAUACCGGAUAAGAUGAUAUUCUGUAGGGAGUAUCAUUAAAGAUGGGGAUCGCAAGACCUAUCGCCAGGAGAUGAGCCUGCGUCCCAUUAGCUUGUUGGUGGGGUAAAAGCCUACCAAGGCGACGAUGGGUAGCCGGCCUGAGAGGGUGAACGGCCACAUUGGGACUGAGAUACGGCCCAGACUCCUACGGGAGGCAGCAGUUAAGAAUCUUGGACAAUGGACGAAAGUCUGAUCCAGCGACGCCGCGUGAAUGAUGAAGGUCUUCGGAUUGUAAAGUUCAUUAAGCAGAGACGAAUAAGUGCAGGGAAAUAUUCUGUACGGUGACGGUAUCUGCCUAAAGCCACGGCUAAAUACGUGCCAGCAGCCGCGGUAAUACGUAUGUGGCGAGCGUUGUUCGGAAUUAUUGGGCAUAAAGGACAUCUAGGCGGGGUAUUAAGUCGAGUGUGAAAUCUGGAGGCUCAACCUCCAAACUGCAUUCGAUACUGGUACUCUUGAGUUAGGGAGAGGAAAGCGGAAUUCCAGGUGUAGCGGUGAAAUGCGUAGAUAUCUGGAAGAACACCGGUGGCGAAGGCGGCUUUCUGGCCUAUAACUGACGCUGAAGUGCGAAAGCGUGGGGAGCGAACGGGAUUAGAUACCCUAGUAGUCC
RNAcentral lists this ribosomal RNA (807 nucleotides) under uncultured bacterium. Its description in RNAcentral is "bacterial SSU rRNA". It matches the Rfam family "Bacterial small subunit ribosomal RNA", at positions 8 to 796 of the family's 1533-position model. The record is from RNAcentral.